AUUGAACGCUGGCGGCAGGCCUAACACAUGCAAGUCGAGCGGUAGCACAGGAGAGCUUGCUCUCUGGGUGACGAGCGGCGGACGGGUGAGUAAUGUCUGGGAAACUGCCUGAUGGAGGGGGAUAACUACUGGAAACGGUAGCUAAUACCGCAUAACGUCGCAAGACCAAAGUGGGGGACCUUCGGGCCUCAUGCCAUCAGAUGUGCCCAGAUGGGAUUAGCUAGUAGGUGGGGUAACGGCUCACCUAGGCGACGAUCCCUAGCUGGUCUGAGAGGAUGACCAGCCACACUGGAACUGAGACACGGUCCAGACUCCUACGGGAGGCAGCAGUGGGGAAUAUUGCACAAUGGGCGCAAGCCUGAUGCAGCCAUGCCGCGUGUAUGAAGAAGGCCUUCGGGUUGUAAAGUACUUUCAGCGAGGAGGAAGGCGAUAAGGUUAAUAACCUUGUCGAUUGACGUUACUCGCAGAAGAAGCACCGGCUAACUCCGUGCCAGCAGCCGCGGUAAUACGGAGGGGUGCAAGGCGUUAAUCGGAAUUACUGGGCGUAAAGCGCACGCAGGCGGUCUGUCAAGUCGGAUGUGAAAUCCCCGGGCUCAACCCUGGGAACUGCAUCCCGAAACUGGCAGGCUAGAGUCUUGUAGAGGGGGGUAGAAUUCCCAGGUGUAGCGGUGAAAUGCGUAGAGAUCUGGAGGAAUACCGGUGGCGAAGGCGGCCCCCUGGACAAAGACUGACGCUCAGGUGCGAAAGCGUGGGGAGCAAACAGGAUUAGAUACCCUGGUAGUCCACGCUGUAAACGAUGUCGACUUGGAGGUUGUUCCCUUGAGGAGUGGCUUCCGGAGCUAACGCGUUAAGUCGACCGCCUGGGGAGUACGGCCGCAAGGUUAAAACUCAAAUGAAUAGACGGGGGCCCGCACAAGCGGUGGAGCAUGUGGUUUAAUUCGAUGCAACGCGAAGAACCUUACCUACUCUUGACAUCCAGAGAACUUAGCAGAGAUGCUUUGGUGCCUUCGGGAACUCUGAGACAGGUGCUGCAUGGCUGUCGUCAGCUCGUGUUGUGAAAUGUUGGGUUAAGUCCCGCAACGAGCGCAACCCUUAUCCUUUGUUGCCAGCGAUUCGGUCGGGAACUCAAAGGAGACUGCCAGUGAUAAACUGGAGGAAGGUGGGGAUGACGUCAAGUCAUCAUGGCCCUUACGAGUAGGGCUACACACGUGCUACAAUGGCAUAUACAAAGAGAAGCGACCUCGCGAGAGCAAGCGGACCUCAUAAAGUAUGUCGUAGUCCGGAUCGGAGUCUGCAACUCGACUCCGUGAAGUCGGAAUCGCUAGUAAUCGUGGAUCAGAAUGCCACGGUGAAUACGUUCCCGGGCCUUGUACACACCGCCCGUCACACCAUGGGAGUGGGUUGCAAAAGAAGUAGGUAGCUUAACCUUCGGGAGGGCGCUUACCACUUUGUGAUUCAUGACUGGGGUG
RNAcentral lists this ribosomal RNA (1469 nucleotides) under uncultured Pantoea sp. RNAcentral describes it as "bacterial SSU rRNA". It matches the Rfam family "Bacterial small subunit ribosomal RNA". Lineage: Bacteria; Pseudomonadati; Pseudomonadota; Gammaproteobacteria; Enterobacterales; Erwiniaceae. The record is from RNAcentral.